Molecule: long non-coding RNA, 205 nt
Filed under: Gossypium barbadense (sea-island cotton)
Lineage: Eukaryota; Viridiplantae; Streptophyta; Magnoliopsida; Malvales; Malvaceae
Description: long non-coding RNA (GBAR_LNC005529)
Source: RNAcentral
AGCUCCUAAAAAGGUGGCAUCUGGAGCAUAAGGGGAGACAUGGGAUCGAUUCCCUGUGUUGGCAAAUAAGGUUAUUUAUUUUUAUGACCAGGAAGGGUAAGUGAUGGAACCCAGGUGGAUUCUGUUGGAGGAGUUUGAAGUAGUCAAGUGCAUGGAUUAAGGAGUGAUAAGGGGAAAGAUUUUAGGGAUGAUGGAGAGAUAAGGG